CCUACGGGGUGCACCAGUGGGGAAUAUUGCACAAUGGGCGCAAGCCUGAUGCAGCCAUGCCGCGUGUAUGAAGAAGGCCUUCGGGUUGUAAAGUACUUUCAGCGGGGAGGAAGGCGAUAAGAUUAAUAACCUUGUCGAUUGACGUUACCCGCAGAAGAAGCACCGGCUAACUCCGUGCCAGCAGCCGCGGUAAUACGGAGGGUGCAAGCGUUAAUCGGAAUUACUGGGCGUAAAGCGCACGCAGGCGGUCUGUCAAGUCGGAUGUGAAAUCCCCGGGCUCAACCUGGGAACUGCAUUCGAAACUGGCAGGCUAGAGUCUUGUAGAGGGGGGUAGAAUUCCAGGUGUAGCGGUGAAAUGCGUAGAGAUCUGGAGGAAUACCGGUGGCGAAGGCGGCCCCCUGGACAAAGACUGACGCUCAGGUGCGAAAGCGUGGGGAGCAAACAGGAUUAGAUACCCGUGUAGUC
This 465-nucleotide ribosomal RNA is filed under the name uncultured bacterium. RNAcentral describes it as "bacterial SSU rRNA". It matches the Rfam family "Bacterial small subunit ribosomal RNA", at positions 338 to 795 of the family's 1533-position model. The record is from RNAcentral.